RNAcentral lists this ribosomal RNA (253 nucleotides) under uncultured bacterium. RNAcentral describes it as "partial 16S ribosomal RNA". It matches the Rfam family "Bacterial small subunit ribosomal RNA", at positions 524 to 776 of the family's 1533-position model. The record is from RNAcentral.
UACGUAGGGGGCAAGCGUUGUCCGGAAUCAUUGGGCGUAAAGAGCGUGUAGGCGGUCCGAUAAGUCCGCUCUGAAAGCCCGGGGCUCAACCCCGGGAGGCGGGCGGAUACUGUCGGGCUAGAGUCCGGAAGAGGCAAGUGGAAUUCCUGGUGUAGCGGUGAAAUGCGCAGAUAUCAGGAGGAACACCGAUGGCGAAGGCAGCUUGCUGGGACGGUACUGACGCUGAGACGCGAAAGCGUGGGGAGCAAACAGA